Molecule: ribosomal RNA, 253 nt
Filed under: uncultured bacterium
Lineage: Bacteria
Description: partial 16S ribosomal RNA
Rfam family: Bacterial small subunit ribosomal RNA
Source: RNAcentral
UACGAAGGGGGCUAGCGUUGCUCGGAAUCACUGGGCGUAAAGCGCGUGUAGGCGGCGCGUCAAGUCGGGUGUGAAAGCCCGGGGCUCAACCCCGGGAUGCCGCUCGAAACUGGCGCGCUUGAGGACGGAAGAGGGGAGUGGAAUUCCUGGUGUAGCGGUGAAAUGCGUAGAGAUCAGGAGGAACACCCGUGGCGAAGGCGGCUCCCUGGUCCGUCCCUGACGCUGAGACGCGAAAGCGCGGGGAGCGAACGGG